RNAcentral lists this ribosomal RNA (426 nucleotides) under uncultured bacterium. RNAcentral describes it as "bacterial SSU rRNA". It matches the Rfam family "Bacterial small subunit ribosomal RNA", at positions 355 to 773 of the family's 1533-position model. The record is from RNAcentral.
UAGGGAAUAUUGGACAAUGGGGGCAACCCUGAUCCAGCCAUGCCGCGUGAGUGAAGAAGGCCCUCGGGUUGUAAAGCUCUUUUGUCCGGAAAGAAAAGCAUUCGGUGAAUACCCGGAUGUUCUGACGGUACCGGAAGAAUAAGCACCGGCUAACUUCGUGCCAGCAGCCGCGGUAAUACGAAGGGUGCAAGCGUUACUCGGAAUUACUGGGCGUAAAGCGUGCGUAGGUGGUUGUUUAAGUCUGAUGUGAAAGCCCUGGGCUCAACCUGGGAAUGGCAUUGGAAACUGGGCAGCUAGAGUGCGGUAGAGGGUAGCGGAAUUCCCGGUGUAGCAGUGAAAUGCGUAGAGAUCGGGAGGAACAUCUGUGGCGAAGGCGACUGCCUGGACCAGCACUGACACUGAGGCACGAAAGCGUGGGGAGCAAAC